UUUUAGCCCAGAUAGCAGGGAAAAUCCUUUUUUAGGCGAUUUUUUCAGUGAAAAAAAGAUUAGAAUGAUCGCUAGAAAUAGC
Molecule: small RNA, 82 nt
Filed under: Flavobacterium psychrophilum
Lineage: Bacteria; Pseudomonadati; Bacteroidota; Flavobacteriia; Flavobacteriales; Flavobacteriaceae
Also listed under: 1 other name
Description: Flavo-1 RNA
Rfam family: Flavo-1 RNA
Source: RNAcentral